CCUCAGAGUACAAAAGUGGCAGACAAAACUGAUACCACAGCACAAUUUCAGAACUAUUCACAACUACCAAAAACAAAAACAAAAAACCGCACCCAUUCUUAUGUAAACUUUUGCAGUAAACUUCCUGAGCCUCACCUUCGCUUACACCUACCCUCUUCUAAGGUACCAAUUGUCAAAAACUCCUAAGAGAAAACGUCCCAUAGGGGAAAAAACGACUGAAAUGUUAUUAUAUUUAAGCAUUUAAACAGGGUUCUUCCUCAGGCUACAGCCAUUUUAGAUUCAGUAUCUUUUGAAUUUUAUGGGUUGGGAAGAUUUAGCAUGGAAUAAAAACGACUAGUUAAGCCACUUCAACUAAUCAAACUUCCACUCCAAUGGGACGGAGUUUGGUAGACAACCAGUAAGACAAUCUGAAGUUGAAAAGGUCUCCCUACCCCAGAGAACCGCGACUCCGGGCGUGGAAGUUCCCUUUCGCCCAGAUAGUCCACAUUUGACUUACACGACUUUUUCCUCGUUAAGUUUCUCUUAACUGGAAAACAGAAGCCUUCGGCUCUUAUUUUAAAGAAAGGUAAAAUAAUAAUAGUAAUAAUAAUAAUGAUAAUAAAACCCAAGUAAACCAAAUCACUCAACCACUAUCAAGCCGGAACUCCUGGAGAGGAGCCGGAGCCGGAGCCGCAGGUGAGCGUUUCCGACCGGGAACUGAAGUUGAAGUCGGAGAGCUCUGGAACCGCCGCGGCGACGCUAGUGUGCAAGACUCCUCCCGGGGGGGGGGGGGGGGGAGGGGGACGUUCCAACUCGGCGACUCCCAGGUCCCUCGUCCACCCCGGCGGACCCACACCCAACCACCUGUGCAAGACCUUCUUCCAACUAGUUUUCCUAGACGGCCAGUUAGGUGCCGGCGGAGCCCGUGCCGGGACCACUCCAGGUCUCCUUCUGCUCGGUGUCCAGGACCCAUACUCACCCGGCAGCGGCGGGGCUACGGUCAAGGACGACUCGCGGCGUCUGAGGACGCGUCCUCAGCUUCUCCGACCAGCAGAGGCGUGCGCCGUGGAAACUACAGUCCUAGGCAAGCCAUAGACACACACAUACUCCCGCCCCUCCGGACUAGAGGCAUGCGCGGCGGUGUGGGCGCACUACCUGCCGGGAGUUGUAGUUCAUGGGCAUUGCAGGCGUCACGGAGCCGCCAGAAUGGAGGGUUGAAAUCUGCUCCAGCCCAGUCUUUGCUAAUAAACCCCCAAAGGAGUCUAUAA
This 1247-nucleotide long non-coding RNA is filed under the name Mus spicilegus (steppe mouse). Its description in RNAcentral is "lncRNA (ENSMSIG00000014185.1)". Lineage: Eukaryota; Metazoa; Chordata; Mammalia; Rodentia; Muridae. The record is from RNAcentral.